Molecule: long non-coding RNA, 1526 nt
Filed under: Homo sapiens (human)
Lineage: Eukaryota; Metazoa; Chordata; Mammalia; Primates; Hominidae
Description: HSALNT0279068
Source: RNAcentral
CUGGAAAAGAUGCCACCAGCACCGCCCCACAAGCUGCAGACGUGGGAGCCCUGAUGUGGCCUAUUUAUUAUUUAUUCAACUUUGACACCACAUUAAGCAACCUCCUGAGGGAAGUGCAAUUGGAUUCACAUGAAUUAAAGCACACACAGGGGCGAGACCACAUUUUGGCAGCUCCUAAAAUGACAGAGUGACGUCGCAGUGUAAGCAGAGGCCGGCUUCCAAAUGAAACAUAAAGAAGCUCUUCUAUAAAAAGCGAGAACUCGGCGAAACCUCGGCCAGUCAGAAGGAGAGGCCUCUGCAGACACGGAGCACACGUGUGUUAUCAAGCGGGGCUGAGGAGUCUUCAGCUGAACCGUGCACCUGAAGAUGCCCAUGACUCCAUGAUCAGAUAGAAACUAUUGAGCUUGGCACCUGGGGCUCUGGAAAUCCAGACACUAAGUUGUGAUCCUGGCACCACUUCCCUGGAAACCCGUAUCUGGACAUGCCCACAUCCUUCCGGCUUUGUGCCUCUUGUCUGGAUUUCUUGGGACAGACACAGCAAAGCCUCACGUGUUCUGAGAAGUGACCUGGCCUUCCACUGACAUUCUAACCAGAUGCUUCAGCACCUUGGAGAGCUCCACAAGACCCACAGACCCGGGCCCCCCAACCACAAGAAAUAUAAUAAAAUACUGCUUUGAGACUCAAUUUCAGCACUUAGCUACAUAAAUAAAAGUUCCAGGAAGACUAAAUCUUAGAACCAACAGGGAGAUGAGCACUUCCAGAGUUUCAUCAGCUUCCAAAUGAUAUUUAAAUAUGAGAACGUGAGGCCUGGCUGGGCCUGUGGUGAAAUCUCCAUAACAGCAUCCUUGUAAUAAAUGCUGAAAUUCAUGCAACCAUGGCCUGCCCCCUUCACGGAUCGCAAUUCAUAAUUGUUGCUGAUUGUCACAAACCAUAGGGCUCUGAACCAAAAUCCAAUGGAGCCCGUGCAUGUGUGUGCAUGAGUGUGUGCACCUGUGUGUGUGCAUGUAUGAAGGUGUGCACUCGUGUGUGUGUGUAUGCGUGUAUGUGUGCAUACAGGUGUGUUAGCAUAUGUGUUUGCGACUAAUUUUUAGACAUGUGUCUCGGCUCUUUCUCCAGCUGGGAAUUUCAAAUGACUUGUGAGAAAAUCUGUAAGGUUAAACAUGUGGAUUUUGGAAGAUGAGAACAAAGAACGAAUACUGAUACAUUUUGGCUUAUUAUUUUGACAGUUUUGAAUUCCCACAGUAGUCUUACAACCAAAUCUUGUGAAAGUGUUUAUUCCGUUCCGUUGACCAGAAUGAGUAACAAACCUGAGAAAUGCUUUUGUGUCGUACAUUGUGUAGUGCAUUGUUAAGGCCCUCAGGUUAGCAAAAGCUGUCCUCAGCUGUGGAGCUGACUGCAGUGUGUCACUGACAUUAGCAACUGGACUUCAUUUGAUGAGCAGGCUGAACCUCUGGACAUUAAAAAGAGUAUUCACGGCCGGGCGCGGUGGCUCAAACCUGUAAUCCCAGCAUUUUGGGAGGCCGAGG